RNAcentral lists this ribosomal RNA (495 nucleotides) under uncultured bacterium. RNAcentral's name for it is "partial 16S ribosomal RNA". It matches the Rfam family "Bacterial small subunit ribosomal RNA", at positions 28 to 507 of the family's 1533-position model. The record is from RNAcentral.
GACGAACGCUGGCGGCGUGCCUAAUACAUGCAAGUAGAACGCUGAAGGAGGAGCUUGCUCUUCUGGAUGAGUUGCGAACGGGUGAGUAACGCGUAGGUAACCUGCCUGGUAGUGGGGGAUAACUAUUGGAAACGAUAGCUAAUACCGCAUAAUAACAGUUGUUGCAUGACAACUGUUUGAAAGGUGCAAUUGCAUCACUACCAGAUGGACCUGCGUUGUAUUAGCUAGUUGGUGGGGUAACGGCUCACCAAGGGGACGAUACAUAGCCGACCUGAGAGGGUGAUCGGCCACACUGGGACUGAGACACGGCCCAGACUCCUACAGGAGGCAGCAGUAGGGAAUCUUCGGCAAUGGACGAAAGUCUGACCGAGCAACGCCGCGUGAGUGAAGAAGGUUUUCGGAUCGUAAAGCUCUGUUGUAAGAGAAGAGCGAGUGUGAGAGUGGAAAGUUCACACUGUGACGGUAUCUUACCAGAAAGAGACGGCUAACUACGUG